UACGAAGGUGGCAAGCGUUGUUCGGAUUUACUGGGCGUACAGGGAGCGUAGGCGGUUGGAUAAGCCCUCCGUGAAAUCUCCAGGCUUAACCUGGAAAGUGCAGAGGGGACUGUUCAGCUAGAGGAUGGGAGAGGAGCGCGGAAUUCCCGGUGUAGCGGUGAAAUGCGUAGAGAUCGGGAGGAAGGCCGGUGGCGAAGGCGACGCUCUGGAACAUUUCUGACGCUGAGGCUCGAAAGCGUGGGGAGCAAACAGG
This 253-nucleotide ribosomal RNA is filed under the name uncultured bacterium. Its description in RNAcentral is "partial 16S ribosomal RNA". It matches the Rfam family "Bacterial small subunit ribosomal RNA", at positions 524 to 776 of the family's 1533-position model. The record is from RNAcentral.